GUGGGUCUUGUGUCAUCAGUUUGCAUGAAGAAGGAAGGAUAAUUAAUAAGAAAGUCAAGGAUUGCCCUACUAGUCAUUCUAGUCAGCCAAUUAUCAUUGCCUUAGUCUGCCCUUUGAUCUUGUGGUAACUCUUGAACUUGGAGAAUGGGGAAGUCAUUUUGAAAACGUUGCUUCAGAUCAAGAACAAUGGUGUAGCUAAUUGAUUUUCUUUCUUGGAAUUAAAACUGCUGUCUCACUCAAAAGUUAGAGGUGCUUUAUGGAAUUUUUCAAAAAGAUGCAGCGACACCUGAAUGAUGCCUCCUUACAAGAGGAUGAACUUUUGAGAAGAAUUCCUGAAUAGACUAGGAGAAACUCGCUAGAAAAGGGUAUUUUC
RNAcentral lists this long non-coding RNA (373 nucleotides) under Eucalyptus grandis. RNAcentral describes it as "long non-coding RNA (EGRA_LNC004981)". Lineage: Eukaryota; Viridiplantae; Streptophyta; Magnoliopsida; Myrtales; Myrtaceae. The record is from RNAcentral.